CACGUAGGGUGCGAGCGUUGUCCGGAAUUACUGGGCGUAAAGCGUGCGUAGGUGGUGAGUUAAGUCUGAUGUGAAAUCCCCGGGCUCAACCUGGGAAUGGCAUUGGAUACUGGCUCGCUAGAGUGCGGUAGAGGGUGGUGGAAUUCCCGGUGUAGCAGUGAAAUGCGUAGAGAUCGGGAGGAACAUCUGUGGCGAAGGCGGCCACCUGGACCAACACUGACACUGAGGCACGAAAGCGUGGGGAGCAAACAGG
This 253-nucleotide ribosomal RNA is filed under the name uncultured bacterium. Its description in RNAcentral is "partial 16S ribosomal RNA". It matches the Rfam family "Bacterial small subunit ribosomal RNA", at positions 524 to 776 of the family's 1533-position model. The record is from RNAcentral.